GACGAACGCUGGCGGCGUGCUUAACACAUGCAAGUCGAACGGUAAGGCCCUUCGGGGUACACGAGUGGCGAACGGGUGAGUAACACGUGGGUGAUCUGCCCUGCACUUCGGGAUAAGCCUGGGAAACUGUGUCUAAUACCGGAUAGGACCACUGCCUGCAUGGGCGGUGGUGGAAAGCUUUUGCGGUGUGGGAUGGGCCCGCGGCCUAUCAGCUUGUUGGUGGGGUGAUGGCAUACCAAGGCGACGACGGGUAGCCGGCCUGAGAGGGUGACCGGCCACACUGGGACUGAGAUACGGCCCAGACUCCUACGGGAGGCAGCAGUGGGGAACAUUGCACAAUGGGCGCAAGCCUGAUGCAGCGACGCCGCGUGAGGGAUGACGGCCUUCGGGUUGUAAACCUCUUUCAGCACCGACGAAGCGCAAGUGACGGUAGGUGCAGAAGAAGGACCGGCCAACUACGUGCCAGCCGCCGCGGUAA
This 478-nucleotide ribosomal RNA is filed under the name uncultured bacterium. Its description in RNAcentral is "partial 16S ribosomal RNA". It matches the Rfam family "Bacterial small subunit ribosomal RNA", at positions 28 to 523 of the family's 1533-position model. The record is from RNAcentral.